Molecule: ribosomal RNA, 497 nt
Filed under: uncultured bacterium
Lineage: Bacteria
Description: partial 16S ribosomal RNA
Rfam family: Bacterial small subunit ribosomal RNA
Source: RNAcentral
GACGAACGCUGGCGGCGUGCCUAAUACAUGCAAGUUGAGCGAUGAAGAUUGGUGCUUGCACCAAUUUGAAGAGCAGCGAACGGGUGAGUAACGCGUGGGGAAUCUGCCUUUGAGCGGGGGACAACAUUUGGAAACGAAUGCUAAUACCGCAUAACAACUUUAAACAUAAGUUUUAAGUUUGAAAGAUGCAAUUGCAUCACUCAAAGAUGAUCCCGCGUUGUAUUAGCUAGUUGGUGAGGUAAAGGCUCACCAAGGCGAUGAUACAUAGCCGACCUGAGAGGGUGAUCGGCCACAUUGGGACUGAGACACGGCCCAAACUCCUACGGGAGGCAGCAGUAGGUAAUCUUCGGCAAUGGACGAAAGUCUGACCGAGCAACGCCGCGUGAGUGAAGAAGGUUUUCUGAUCGUAAAACUCUGUUGGUAGAGAAGAACGUUGGUGAGAGUGGAAAGCUCAUCAAGUGACGGUAACUACCCAGAAAGGGACGGCUAACUACGUG